This 34-nucleotide transfer RNA is filed under the name Panax pseudoginseng. RNAcentral's name for it is "partial tRNA-His". RNAcentral also lists the same sequence under 2 other names. Lineage: Eukaryota; Viridiplantae; Streptophyta; Magnoliopsida; Apiales; Araliaceae. The record is from RNAcentral.
AAUCCACUGCCUUGAUCCACUUGGCUACAUCCGC